RNAcentral lists this ribosomal RNA (445 nucleotides) under uncultured bacterium. RNAcentral describes it as "partial 16S ribosomal RNA". It matches the Rfam family "Bacterial small subunit ribosomal RNA", at positions 354 to 796 of the family's 1533-position model. The record is from RNAcentral.
GUGAGGAAUAUUGGUCAAUGGGCGAGAGCCUGAACCAGCCAAGUCGCGUGAAUGAUGAAGGUUUUAUGAAUUGUAAACUUCUUUUGCAGGGGAAUAAAGUACGGUACGUGUACCGUUUUGUAUGUACUCUGCGAAUAAGGAUCGGCUAACUCCGUGCCAGCAGCCGCGGUAAUACGGAGGAUCCAAGCGUUAUCCGGAUUUAUUGGGUUUAAAGGGUGCGCAGGCGGGUUGAUAAGUCAGCGGUGAAAGUUUGCAGCUUAACUGUAAAAUUGCCGUUGAAACUGUCGAUCUUGAGUGCAAAUGAGGUAAGCGGAAUGUGUUGUGUAGCGGUGAAAUGCUUAGAUAUAACACAGAACUCCGAUUGCGAAGGCAGCUUACUGGGAUGCAACUGACACUGAUGCACGAAAGCGUGGGGAUCAAACAGGAUUAGAUACCCCGGUAGUCC